ACGAACGCUGGCGGCGCGCUUAACACAUGCAAGUCGAACGGAAAGGCCCUGCUUUUGUGGGGUGCUCGAGUGGCGAACGGGUGAGUAACACGUGAGUAACCUGCCCUUGACUUUGGGAUAACUUCAGGAAACUGGGGCUAAUACCGGAUAGGAGCUCCUGCUGCAUGGUGGGGGUUGGAAAGUUUCGGCGGUUGGGGAUGGACUCGCGGCUUAUCAGCUUGUUGGUGGGGUAGUGGCUUACCAAGGCUUUGACGGGUAGCCGGCCUGAGAGGGUGACCGGCCACAUUGGGACUGAGAUACGGCCCAGACUCCUACGGGAGGCAGCAGUGGGGAAUAUUGCACAAUGGGCGGAAGCCUGAUGCAGCAACGCCGCGUGCGGGAUGACGGCCUUCGGGUUGUAAACCGCUUUCGCCUGUGACGAAGCGUGAGUGACGGUAAUGGGUAAAGAAGCACCGGCUAACUACGUG
This 467-nucleotide ribosomal RNA is filed under the name uncultured bacterium. RNAcentral's name for it is "partial 16S ribosomal RNA". It matches the Rfam family "Bacterial small subunit ribosomal RNA", at positions 29 to 507 of the family's 1533-position model. The record is from RNAcentral.